ACUCCUACGGGAGGCAGCAGUGGGAAUAUUGCACAAAUGGGGAAGCCCAUCGAUGCAGCCAUGCCGCGCUGUGUGAAGAAGGCCAUUCGGGCUUGGUAAAGACACUUUUCAGUAGGGAGGAAGGUAGUGUAGUUAACACCUGCAUUAUUUGACGUUACCUACAGAAGAAGCACCGGCUAACUCCGUGCCAGCAGCCGCGGUAAUACGGAGGGUGCGAGCGUUAAUCGGAAUUACUGGGCGUAAAGCGCAUGCAGGCGGCCUGUUAAGUCAGAUGUGAAAGCCC
RNAcentral lists this ribosomal RNA (283 nucleotides) under uncultured bacterium. RNAcentral describes it as "partial 16S ribosomal RNA". It matches the Rfam family "Bacterial small subunit ribosomal RNA", at positions 335 to 603 of the family's 1533-position model. The record is from RNAcentral.